GAGUUUGAUUGUGGCUCAGAACGAACGCUGGCGGCAGGCCUAACACAUGCAAGUCGAACGCCCUAGCAAUAGGGAGUGGCAGACGGGUGAGUAACACGUGGGAACCUUCCCUAUAGUACGGAAUAGCCCAGGGAAACUUGGAGUAAUACCGUAUACGCCCGAAAGGGGAAAGAUUUAUCGCUAUAGGAUGGGCCCGCGUCGGAUUAGCUAGUUGGUGAGGUAAUGGCUCACCAAGGCAACGAUCCGUAGCUGGUUUGAGAGAAUGACCAGCCACACUGGGACUGAGACACGGCCCAGACUCCUACGGGAGGCAGCAGUGGGGAAUCUUGGACAAUGGGCGCAAGCCUGAUCCAGCCAUGCCGCGUGAGUGAUGAAGGCCUUAGGGUUGUAAAGCUCUUUUGGCGGGGACGAUAAUGACGGUACCCGCAGAAUAAGUCCCGGCUAACUUCGUGCCAGCCGCCGCGGUAAU
Molecule: ribosomal RNA, 469 nt
Filed under: uncultured Alphaproteobacteria bacterium
Lineage: Bacteria; Pseudomonadati; Pseudomonadota; Alphaproteobacteria
Description: bacterial SSU rRNA
Rfam family: Bacterial small subunit ribosomal RNA
Source: RNAcentral